RNAcentral lists this ribosomal RNA (482 nucleotides) under uncultured bacterium. RNAcentral's name for it is "partial 16S ribosomal RNA". It matches the Rfam family "Bacterial small subunit ribosomal RNA", at positions 30 to 507 of the family's 1533-position model. The record is from RNAcentral.
AUUGAACGCUGGCGGCAUGCUUUACACAUGCAAGUCGAACGGUAACAGCACUUCGGUGGCUGACGAGUGGCGCACGGGUGAGUAAUACAUCGGAACGUGCCUAGUAGUGGGGGAUAACUACUCGAAAGAGUAGCUAAUACCGCAUGAGAUCUAAGGAUGACAUCAGGGGACCUUCGGGCCUUGCGCUACUAGAGCGGCUGAUGGCAGAUUAGGUAGUUGGUGGGAUAAAAGCUUACCAAGCCGACGAUCUGUAGCUGGUCUGAGAGGACGACCAGCCACACUGGGACUGAGACACGGCCCAGACUCCUACGGGAGGCAGCAGUGGGGAAUUUUGGACAAUGGGCGCAAGCCUGAUCCAGCAAUGCCGCGUGCAGGAUGAAGGCCUUCGGGUUGUAAACUGCUUUUGUACGGAACGAAAAGCCCUCUUCUAAUACAGGAGGGUCAUGACGGUACCGUAAGAAUAAGCACCGGCUAACUACGUG